CGGACGGGUGAGUAACACGUGAGCAACCUGCCUUUCAGAGGGGAAUAACGUUUGGAAACGAACGCUAAUACCGCAUAACAUUGGGAUAUGGCAUCAUGACCCAAUCAAAGAUUUAUCGCUGAAAGAUGGGCUCGCGCCCGAUUAGGUAGUUGGUGAGAUAAUAGCCCACCAAGCCGACGAUCGGUAGCCGGACUGAGAGGUUGAACGGCCACAUUGGGACUGAGACACGGCCCAGACUCCUACGGAAGGCAGCAG
RNAcentral lists this ribosomal RNA (255 nucleotides) under uncultured bacterium. RNAcentral's name for it is "partial 16S ribosomal RNA". It matches the Rfam family "Bacterial small subunit ribosomal RNA", at positions 99 to 354 of the family's 1533-position model. The record is from RNAcentral.